AUUGAACGCUGGCGGAAUGCUUUACACAUGCAAGUCGAACGGCAGCACGGGUGCUUGCACCUGGUGGCGAGUGGCGAACGGGUGAGUAAUACAUCGGAACGUACCCAGUCGUGGGGGAUAACGUAGCGAAAGUUACGCUAAUACCGCAUACGUCCUGAGGGAGAAAGCGGGGGACCGUAAGGCCUCGCGCGAUUGGAGCGGCCGAUGGCGGAUUAGCUAGUUGGUGGGGUAAAGGCCUACCAAGGCGACGAUCCGUAGCGGGUCUGAGAGGACGGCCCGCAACACAGGAACUGAGAAACGGUCCAGCGUCCGACGGGGGGCAGCAGUGGGGAAUUUUGGACAAUGGGCGAAAGCCUGAUCGAGCAUUCCGCGUGAGUGAAGAAGGCCUUCGGGUUGUAAAGCUCUUUCGGCAGGGAAGAAACGGCUUGGGAUAAUACCCCGGGCUAAUGACGGUACCUGAAGAAGAAGCACCGGCUAACUACGUGCCAGCCGCCGCGGUAA
Molecule: ribosomal RNA, 501 nt
Filed under: uncultured bacterium
Lineage: Bacteria
Description: partial 16S ribosomal RNA
Rfam family: Bacterial small subunit ribosomal RNA
Source: RNAcentral